Carassius auratus (goldfish) is the source of this 479-nucleotide long non-coding RNA. RefSeq lists it as uncharacterized. The transcript has 2 exons. The record is from RefSeq and is a predicted model, not a curated record. NCBI's taxonomy places the organism in Eukaryota, Metazoa, Chordata, Actinopteri, Cypriniformes, Cyprinidae.
UGUGUGUGUGUGUGUGUGUGUGUGUGUUAUGGAUCACUCCCAGUCACACUCUGUGUUCCUGUCAUGGUCCCAGCCAUCAGAUGGUGGGCAGCUCACUCACGGCUGGGCACUCAACUGAUGGCAGCUGUCCUGUAGGAAGUGCAGUUGGCACGGGUUUAUAUGCGAAAUUUCGCUCCCUUACAUCGCCUUGGCAAUGUCUUCACAGAGGAAGUCCAUAUUGUCCAUAAGAGGCUUAGACGUCUGCAUGGAAUGACAUCAUCUGGGCGCUGCAGGGUUGGUGCGUGUACAGCAGGGGGCGCUCUUACACAGUCACUGCCCAUCAUGAUUACAAAGGACUCAAGGGACUGUGAGAGGCAGUCUGCUAUUUCUGACACAUCCUCUCGAACAAGCCUGCUUUCGGCUUUCAGAGACGUUAAAUCUCAGAGACAUCUUACAUAAUACACUGUGUAUGAUUUUAUAUUAAGUUUUAAUUAUUUACA